This 61-nucleotide microRNA precursor is filed under the name Canis lupus familiaris (dog). Its description in RNAcentral is "Cfa-Mir-361-v2_pre stem-loop". It matches the Rfam family "mir-361 microRNA precursor family", at positions 7 to 66 of the family's 71-position model. The record is from RNAcentral. Lineage: Eukaryota; Metazoa; Chordata; Mammalia; Carnivora; Canidae.
UAUCAGAAUCUCCAGGGGUACUUAAAAUUUGAAAAAGUCCCCCAGGUGUGAUUCUGAUUUG